GACGAACGCUGGCGGCGUGCUUAACACAUGCAAGUCGAACGGAAAGGCCCUGCUUUUGUGGGGUGCUCGAGUGGCGAACGGGUGAGUAACACGUGAGUAACCUGCCCUUGACUUUGGGAUAACUUCAGGAAACUGGGGCUAAUACCGGAUAGGAGCUCCUGCUGCAUGGUGGGGGUUGGAAAGUUUCGGCGGUUGGGGAUGGACUCGCGGCUUAUCAGCUUGUUGGUGGGGUAGUGGCUUACCAAGGCUUUGACGGGUAGCCGGCCUGAGAGGGUGACCGGCCACAUUGGGACUGAGAUGCGGCCCAGACUCCUACGGGAGGCAGCAGUGGGGAAUGUUGCACAAUGGGCGGAAGCCUGAUGCAGCAACGCCGCGUGCGGGAUGACGGCCUUCGGGUUGUAAACCGCUUUCGCCUGUGACGAAGCGUGAGUGACGGUAAUGGGUAAAGAAGCACCGGCUAACUACGUG
RNAcentral lists this ribosomal RNA (468 nucleotides) under uncultured bacterium. Its description in RNAcentral is "partial 16S ribosomal RNA". It matches the Rfam family "Bacterial small subunit ribosomal RNA", at positions 28 to 507 of the family's 1533-position model. The record is from RNAcentral.